GCAUCUCCAGCAGCUUUUUGACAGAGUCGUCACGUGCUACCAGUGUCUGCCGCUGCGUCUCCAGCCGCAGUUCCAUCUCCUGAAUGGUACGGCGGAGCAGGAUGAGCUCGCGAGUUUGCCUUUCUUGCUCCUCGCCCGGUUCAAGUGCGAGCGGCUCCCCAGGCGGCUGGAGCAGCUGGUUCAGGUCACGCUGGAUGCGCAACUCAGCCUGCAGCGCCUGCACUGUGGUCUGCAGGUGCUGCCAUGGAUGAGACAGGAGGACAAAUAUGAACAGCAGCUUUCUAUGAGCCGCCUGGGAGAACGGUCUGUCCGUGGCUAACGUGGAACACCUACCGUGCCCUGCAAAAAAAAUAAAAGGUCACACCUCUCGAAAUUUAUCUAGACUACAAGCCACCAGGUGACGUACAGAAGAAAAGACAUUAGCAGCAUCCUUUCCCAUCAAAGCUGGAAGGAGUUCGGUGACGUAACGCCUACGCUGCGCGCUCGCGACGUCCGCCUGCCUAAUCGGAGUGGGCGGGGCUAACGACAAAGAUUACGAAUUCCACGAAGGGUCUAUAACGAAGUGGGGCCGCCAUUUUGUUUUGUCUAUUCAAACUGAUGUGUGGCUUGAAAACAGUUGCUUUAAAGUGUCCAACUGAACACGAUGUAUCUGGGAAAUUUCACACACAUUACAUAUCUGUAUGAAUGUGCAAGUGUACAGGGGUUCCUAAUAAAAUAAUACAGUGUGUGUGUAUAAGUUGUCCUCAUGGUGUAAUUAUGCAGUUUUUAUGCUUUAUUUGUUUUAAUGUCCACAACAUUUCCAUUUUCGUGUAAAAAUACACACAACUCAAGAAGUCAAGUAUUUACAACAGCA
Tachysurus vachellii is the source of this 853-nucleotide long non-coding RNA. RefSeq lists it as uncharacterized. The record is from RefSeq and is a predicted model, not a curated record. NCBI's taxonomy places the organism in Eukaryota, Metazoa, Chordata, Actinopteri, Siluriformes, Bagridae. The transcript is spliced from 4 exons.